GCAUUGCGUGAACUGAUUGCAGAACACCGUGCUGUAAUCUUGGCUAGACAGGAACGACACCUGCAACAUAGUAAUGCAAUGGAAAACUUUGGUGAUCAUUCCCACCCUAGCUCCAACAAUUCCUUCUUCCCUUAUGAUCACCAGCUUCAAGUUUCAUAUGAGCCACACAAUUGGGACCGCUUCAAUGACACUACAGGCACACGACUCACUCUGGACCUCAUGCAGGCUCCGAGUUCAGCUUUCUGUUUAUUGUCUACCAGAGGGAAAAAUAACAAAGAAGAGGUAGAAGAAUGUUCCGUGUUAUGGAACACCUGGGGAGGAGCCCAUGUAGUUUAAAGGUUGUACUUUUUAACAUGCAAUUUCUUUUAUAGACAUUAGACCGUCUUGUAGUGAGUUAUUUAUAAGUUUAUUUGAACUCCCAAGUCUCCCGCUUGAUA
RNAcentral lists this unclassified non-coding RNA (437 nucleotides) under Hevea brasiliensis (rubber tree). Lineage: Eukaryota; Viridiplantae; Streptophyta; Magnoliopsida; Malpighiales; Euphorbiaceae. The record is from RNAcentral.